Molecule: ribosomal RNA, 251 nt
Filed under: uncultured bacterium
Lineage: Bacteria
Description: partial 16S ribosomal RNA
Rfam family: Bacterial small subunit ribosomal RNA
Source: RNAcentral
UACGAAGGGGGCGAGCGUUGUUCGGAAUUACUGGGCGUAAAGGGCGCGCAGGCGGCCUUAGAAGUCAGAUGUGAAAGCCCCGGGCUCAACCUGGGAAUGGCAUUUGAUACUCUGAGGCUGGAGUACGGGAGAGGAGAGUGGAAUUCCCAGUGUAGAGGUGAAAUUCGUAGAUAUUGGGAAGAACACCGGUGGCGAAGGCGGCUACUCUGGACCGUAACUGACGCUGAGGCGCGAAGCGUGGGAGCAACAGG